RNAcentral lists this ribosomal RNA (396 nucleotides) under uncultured bacterium. RNAcentral describes it as "partial 16S ribosomal RNA". It matches the Rfam family "Bacterial small subunit ribosomal RNA", at positions 523 to 918 of the family's 1533-position model. The record is from RNAcentral.
AUACGUAGGUGGCGAGCGUUGUCCGGAAUUAUUGGGCGUAAAGAGCAUGUAGGCGGCUUAAUAAGUCGAGCGUGAAAAUGCGGGGCUCAACCCCGUAUGGCGCUGGAAACUGUUAGGCUUGAGUGCAGGAGAGGAACGGGGAAUUCCCAGUGUAGCGGUGAAAUGCGUAGAUAUUGGGAGGAACACCAGUGGCGAAGGCGCCUUUCUGGACUGUGUCUGACGCUGAGAUGCGAAAGCCAGGGUAGCGAACGGGAUUAGAUACCCCGGUAGUCCUGGCCGUAAACGAUGGGUACUAGGUGUAGGAGGUAUCGACCCCUUCUGUGCCGGAGUUAACGCAAUAAGUACCCCGCCUGGGGAGUACGGCCGCAAGGUUGAAACUCAAAUGAAUGGACGGGG